RNAcentral lists this long non-coding RNA (909 nucleotides) under Oryza brachyantha (malo sina). RNAcentral describes it as "long non-coding RNA (OBRA_LNC002920)". The record is from RNAcentral. Lineage: Eukaryota; Viridiplantae; Streptophyta; Magnoliopsida; Poales; Poaceae.
GCUGCUCAAAUAAUCCAGCUCACACCAAAAAUACUGCUUAUAUUAAACUAGUAUCUUUUUUGAAAAUCUCUGCCAUGGGAAUAGGACGAACUUUGACUUCCUUAAUAUCUUCCUGAUCUGCCAACAAUUCAUCCUUUGCCACUGCCAGCUUUUUCAAUAAAUGUUUAGCCGCUUGCCCUUUAGUUGCUCUCCUGUGCUAUUUGAGGUAAAGCUCUGCUCUAUGUUGUACUCAUAUUUUCAUGUGAACUAUGAGCUAAUUGGAUGUACUGAUGGUCUAAUGCAAUUCUAUCGCUAAUAUAAUAUAUACAUAUACAUGUGUUGAGUGUGGCUAUAUGUUACUUUUGAUGUAAUUAAAAUCAUGUGAAAAAAAUUCUACAUUGGUAUUUUCUGUCCAAAAUGUGUAUUUCGUGAUGUUUGUUAUUUUAUCUGCCGCUUAUUAUGUUGUGUAUGAAAUGAUAAAUUUCUUAUAAAUUUCAUGUAGAUUUCUCUAUCACGUCUUUCAGAAUUAAAUUAACUAUCUAAUUAAAUUUAGUUCUUCUAAUAGCAAAUUAUGACUCUCAUAUUUAUUAUUUUUUCAAGAUUUGUUGAAGGACUACAACAUUCUCCCGAGAUUAACUUUAUAUUAUUUUGAUAGCAAAUUAUGACUCUCAUAUUUAUUAUUUUUAUUUUAUUCUAUAUUAACUUUAUAUUAUUUUGAUUAUUUCUAGGCUAUUUUUUAUCUAUAUAUUAAUUUACAUAUUAAUAUUGAUUUCUAGGUUAAUUAUUUCUACACUAUUUUUCGUAUUUAUAUAUUAAUUUUAUAUUAUGUUGAUUAUCUAUAUGUUACUUUUUAUAUUUUAUUUAUAUAUUAAUUUUAUAUCAUGUUGAUUAUUUCUAAACUAUUUUUUGUAUUUAUAUAUUAAUUUUACA